AGCUCUGUAAGCGUAUACCAAAGUUGUUGCAGUUAAAACGCUCGUAGUCGGAACUUGGUGGGCGAGGCAGGGCGUCUUUGCGGACGGACUUGUAUCGGCCACCUUUGUGGAGGGGGGCUUAGUGGUACUUUAUUGAAUUGCUAAGUCGCUGCCACCGUUUACUGUGAAAAAAUUGGAGUGUUCAAAGCAGGCGUUUGCCUUGUACACAUUAGCAUGGAAUAAUAGAAUAGGACCUGGUUCUAUUUUGUUGGUUUGUGAGAUCUAGGUAAUGAUUAAGAGGGACGGUUGGGGGCAUUUGUAUUCUGCCGUCAGAGGUGAAAUUCUUAGAUUGGCGGAAGACAAACAGCUGCGAAAGCGUCUGCCAAGGACGUUUUCA
RNAcentral lists this ribosomal RNA (376 nucleotides) under uncultured eukaryote. RNAcentral's name for it is "SSU rRNA". It matches the Rfam family "Eukaryotic small subunit ribosomal RNA", at positions 587 to 972 of the family's 1831-position model. The record is from RNAcentral.